Molecule: ribosomal RNA, 253 nt
Filed under: uncultured bacterium
Lineage: Bacteria
Description: partial 16S ribosomal RNA
Rfam family: Bacterial small subunit ribosomal RNA
Source: RNAcentral
UACGGGGGGGGCAAGCGUUGUUCGGAAUUACUGGGCGUAAAGGGCUCGUAGGCGGCCAACUAAGUCAGACGUGAAAUCCCUCGGCUUAACCGGGGAACUGCGUCUGAUACUGGUUGGCUUGAGGUUGGGAGAGGGAUGCGGAAUUCCAGGUGUAGCGGUGAAAUGCGUAGAUAUCUGGAGGAACACCGGUGGCGAAGGCGGCAUCCUGGACCAAUUCUGACGCUGAGGUGCGAAAGCGUGGGGAGCAAACAGG